Molecule: ribosomal RNA, 166 nt
Filed under: Cladosporium halotolerans
Lineage: Eukaryota; Fungi; Ascomycota; Dothideomycetes; Cladosporiales; Cladosporiaceae
Description: partial 18S ribosomal RNA
Rfam family: Eukaryotic small subunit ribosomal RNA
Source: RNAcentral
CACCGCCCGUCGCUACUACCGAUUGAAUGGCUCGGUGAGGCCUUCGGACUGGCCCAGGGAGGUCGGCAACGACCACCCAGGGCCGGAAAGUUGGUCAAACCCGGUCAUUUAGAGGAAGUAAAAGUCGUAACAAGGUCUCCGUAGGUGAACCUGCGGAGGGAUCAUU